AUUUUCCAGAAAAGUUGAAAUUUUAUUAAUUUAAAUGGCUCAGUUAAGAAGAAAGUAUGAUGCAGAAGUUAACUUGUAAGCAACUUUGAGUAAGCUGAUGUUCUGAUCCUCCAAAUGGCCAGAUACUGUACAAGGCGUCCAUGUCUCUGGAGUUCUUCCUUGAUGCUGCAAAGAAACCUGACUUUACAUCCAGCCAGACUGCUAGAGCCACAGCUGUGGAAAAUGGGAAGAUGCCCUCAUGAGGACAUUGAGGGGGACCAUUUUCCCAGAUGUGGAUCAUGCUGGAGUACAGUGAAGAACCAAGAGACCUGAACUAGUGCCUGAUAUCUUAGAUGUUAAAAGCAGAACCAGACAGAUUUACAGCUUUAUUGAAUAAAAACAAUAAAUGACAGGGCCUAGAACAAGGCUGAAAAUGUUGAACAAGGGGCCUGAAAAAUGCACUAUCA
This is a long non-coding RNA of Monopterus albus (swamp eel), 446 nucleotides long. RefSeq lists it as uncharacterized. NCBI's taxonomy places the organism in Eukaryota, Metazoa, Chordata, Actinopteri, Synbranchiformes, Synbranchidae. The record is from RefSeq and is a predicted model, not a curated record. The transcript has 3 exons.